GUGGCAUAUGAGCUAUGUAUGGAUGUUUGAAAGGACUGCUUGAGUGGAUGUCAGUUACAGUAUACCACAAUUUUCCUUAAAGAUCCCAUGCCAUGCUAUUGAUGGAUGCUUUAAUAUAGGUAUUAGUUGGCUACAAACACAGUAUUCAAAGACGUCCCCGAAAUUCAGCCGUGGUGCAGAGUUACAGCCACUCCAAACCAGUCGCACAUUGAGCUUCCCCCAAACGCGCUGUUUCGGUGGGCGUGUCAAGGCAGGUCAAGGAGGGGGGUGGGGGUGUGGCCCUGAGCAGCUUGUAGCCACAGUACAAUGCGCUCUGGUUACGGUGGGCGUGUCAAGGCAGGUCAAGGAGGGGGGUGGGGGUGUGGCCCUGAGCAGCUUGUAGCCACAGUACCAUGCGCUCGCCGCUCUGUUGACGGUGGAUGUAUCGCAAUGGCUCGUAGAAACCCAUAUUAUACAUAGAUAUCUAUAUCAUAUAAUCUAUAAUAUAUAUUAUCACCUGGCCCUGAGCAGCUUGUAGCCACGGUACCAUGCGCUCUGUUUACGGUGGAUGUAUCGCAAUGGCUCUUAGAAACCCAUUUUAUACAUAGAUAUCUAUAUCAUAAUAUAUAUUAUCACGGCCAAAAGCUGUGUGAGCCUCCAGACGAUCAAACGACCGCGUCUUCUUCAGAUUGAUGUGGAAGUGGAAGAACCAGAGACGUCGGAGAACCCGACGAAGUCCUUUGCGAUUCAUUAUAUCGUCUGCACACAGGUUUUGGCCGUGAUAAUAUGUAUUAUUUGAUAUAGAUAUCUAUGUAUUAUAUGAUAUUAUUUAGAUGUAGAGCCCCAGGACUGUAACGCUGCUGGAGUUGUUAUUAGGAUCUAAACAACACGUCGGACUCUCGUCUCUGGUAUUUCUACAACGAGACUCGUAGUGGGGGUUAUCUCAGCCAUGGUUGAGAAUGAAUUGGGGGAAAGGAACUUUGGCUUUGACUCCCUCAAGUACAUGAACCACGACAUGGAGGAGAAGGGGAUUGUUGGCCGCGAAUGUAUCCCGCUUGAGCCCUGCUUCCCGCCGCCUCGGCAGCGGUCAGCGCUAAUCCCCGCCUCCUGAAGCGGUGGUCCAUCGGCAGCGAGGCUCCGGCGGGAGACGACCGCGGUCAACAAUCCCUUUCUCCUCCAUGUUGUGGUUCAUGCCU
Molecule: long non-coding RNA, 1175 nt
Filed under: Gadus morhua (Atlantic cod)
Lineage: Eukaryota; Metazoa; Chordata; Actinopteri; Gadiformes; Gadidae
Description: lncRNA (ENSGMOG00000026434.1)
Source: RNAcentral